UGGCAUGUAGUUCAACGGCAGAACACCCGCCUGUUACGCGGAUAGAUGUGGGUUCGAGUCCCACUGUGCCAGCCA
Molecule: transfer RNA, 75 nt
Filed under: Gammaproteobacteria bacterium
Lineage: Bacteria; Pseudomonadati; Pseudomonadota; Gammaproteobacteria
Also listed under: 1 other name
Description: tRNA-Asn
Rfam family: tRNA
About the family: Transfer RNA (tRNA) molecules are approximately 80 nucleotides in length. Their secondary structure includes four short double-helical elements and three loops (D, anti-codon, and T loops).
Source: RNAcentral